This 238-nucleotide ribosomal RNA is filed under the name uncultured bacterium. RNAcentral's name for it is "partial 16S ribosomal RNA". It matches the Rfam family "Bacterial small subunit ribosomal RNA", at positions 335 to 586 of the family's 1533-position model. The record is from RNAcentral.
ACUCCUACGGGAGGCAGCAGUGGGGAAUAUUGGACAAUGGGCGAAAGCCUGAUCCAGCCAUGCCGCGUGGGUGAAGAAGGCCCUAGGGUUGUAAAACCCCUUUCAGUCGGGGAAGGAUAAUGACGGUACCCGCAGAAGAAGCCCCGGCUAACUCCGUGCCAGCAGCCGCGGUAAAUACGGAGGGGCUAGCGUUGUUCGGAAUUACUGGGCGUAAAAGCGCGCGUAGGCGGACUUUCAA